AUUGAACGCUGGCGGCAUGCCUUACACAUGCAAGUCGAACGGCAGCACGGGAGCAAUCCUGGUGGCGAGUGGCGAACGGGUGAGUAAAGUAUCGGGACGUGCCCAGUCGUGGGGGAUAACGUAGCGAAAGUUACGCUAAUACCGCAUACGAUCUACGGAUGAAAGCGGGGGAUCGCAAGACCUCGCGCGAUUGGAGCGGCCGAUAUCAGAUUAGGUAGUUGGUGGGGUAAAGGCUCACCAAGCCGACGAUCUGUAGCUGGUCUGAGAGGACGACCAGCCACGCUGGGACUGAGACACGGCCCAGACUCCUACGGGAGGCAGCAGUGGGGGAUUUUGGACAAUGGGCGAAAGCCUGAUCCAGCCAUGCCGCGUGCAGGAUGAAGGCCUUCGGGUUGUAAACUGCUUUUGUACGGAACGAAAAGGUUUGGCCUAAUAAGCUGAGCUCAUGACGGUACCGUAAGAAUAAGCACCGGCUAACUACGUGCCAGCCGCCGCAGUAA
RNAcentral lists this ribosomal RNA (500 nucleotides) under uncultured bacterium. RNAcentral describes it as "partial 16S ribosomal RNA". It matches the Rfam family "Bacterial small subunit ribosomal RNA", at positions 30 to 523 of the family's 1533-position model. The record is from RNAcentral.